Molecule: ribosomal RNA, 418 nt
Filed under: Ischnocnema sp. LN08
Lineage: Eukaryota; Metazoa; Chordata; Amphibia; Anura; Brachycephalidae
Description: partial large subunit ribosomal RNA
Rfam family: Bacterial large subunit ribosomal RNA
Source: RNAcentral
CCUUUUUUCAACCAGUGAAACUAAUCCCCCCGUGAAGAAACGGGAAUUCCACUAUAAGACGAGAAGACCCUGUGGAGCUUAAGGCAAAGUAAUUUUUAUUACUUCAAAUAACCCUUUCCGAAGACUAUACACAACAACAUCUUAAUUAUUUAGCCUUUAGUUGGGGCGACUGCGGAGUAAAACCAACCCUCCACGCAAACAAUCUCCCACAGAGCCACAACUCUGCACAUCAACACAUUGACAACAAUUGACCCAAUUACUUGAGCAACGAAACAAGUUACCCCAGGGAUAACAGCGCAAUCCAUUUCAAGAGUCCCUAUCGACAAAUGGGUUUACGACCUCGAUGUUGGAUCAGGGUAUCCCAGUGGUGCAGCCGCUACUAAAGGUUCGUUUGUUCAACGAUUAAAACCCUACGUGA